This 460-nucleotide ribosomal RNA is filed under the name uncultured bacterium. RNAcentral describes it as "partial 16S ribosomal RNA". It matches the Rfam family "Bacterial small subunit ribosomal RNA", at positions 339 to 795 of the family's 1533-position model. The record is from RNAcentral.
CUACGGGUGGUAGCAGUAGGGAAUUUUGCGCAAUGGAGGCAACUCUGACGCAGCAACGCCAUGUGUGGGAUGACGCAUUUCGGUGUGUAAACCACUGUCAGUAGGGAAUAAAUGACAGAUUUAAUACGUCUGUUUUGAAGGUACCUACAAAGGAAGCCCCGGCUAACUUGUGCCAGCAGCCGCGGUAAUACGAGGGGGGCAAGUGUUGUUCGGAAUCACUGGGCGUAAAGGGAGCGUAGGUGGACCAGCAAGUCAGAUGUUUAAUCCCGGGGCCUAACCCCGGACUUGCACUUGAAACUGUUGGUCUUGAGUAAGUUAGAGGUAGACGGAAUUCUUGGUGUAGCGGUGGAAUGCGUAGAUAUCAAGAAGAACACCAGAGGCGAAGGCGGUCUACUGGGACAUUACUGACACUGAGGCUCGAAAGCGUGGGGAGCGAACAGGAUUAGAUACCCCGGUAGUC